AUUGAACGCUGGCGGCAGGCCUAACACAUGCAAGUCGAGCGAGCGGCGGACGGGUGAGUAAUGCCUAGGAAUCUGCCUGGUAGUGGGGGAUAACGUCCGGAAACGGUAGCUAAUACCGCAUACCAUCAGAUGAACCCAUAUGGGAUUAGCUAGUAGGUAAGGUAACGGCUUACCUAGGCGACGAUCCCUAGCUGGUCUGAGAGGAUGAUCAGCCACACUGGGACUGAGACACGGCCCAGACUCCUACGGGAGGCAGCAGUGGGGAAUAUUGCACAAUGGGCGCAAGCCUGAUGCAGCCAUGCCGCGUGUAUGAAGAAGGCCUUCGGGUUGUAAAGUACUUUCAGUCGGGAGGCGUUACCGACAGAAGAAGCACCGGCUAACUCCGUGCCAGCAGCCGCGGUAAUAC
Molecule: ribosomal RNA, 406 nt
Filed under: uncultured bacterium
Lineage: Bacteria
Description: partial 16S ribosomal RNA
Rfam family: Bacterial small subunit ribosomal RNA
Source: RNAcentral